Molecule: non-coding RNA, 87 nt
Organism: Pseudonaja textilis
Lineage: Eukaryota; Metazoa; Chordata; Lepidosauria; Squamata; Elapidae
Source: RefSeq, a predicted model, not a curated record
CAAGGAACAAAUUGAUGCACAGUUAGAUAAGCUCAUUGCGCAAGGGGUUUUAGAGCCUAUUGACCAUGCCAGGUGGGGGACACCCAU